RNAcentral lists this ribosomal RNA (253 nucleotides) under uncultured bacterium. RNAcentral's name for it is "partial 16S ribosomal RNA". It matches the Rfam family "Bacterial small subunit ribosomal RNA", at positions 524 to 776 of the family's 1533-position model. The record is from RNAcentral.
UACGUAGGGGGCAAGCGUUGUCCGGAAUCAUUGGGCGUAAAGAGCGCGUAGGCGGUCCGUUAAGUCCGCUCUGAAAGCCCGGGGCUCAACCCCGGGAGGCGGGCGGAUACUGUCGGGCUAGAGUCCGGAAGAGGCGAGUGGAAUUCCUGGUGUAGCGGUGAAAUGCGCAGAUAUCAGGAGGAACACCGGUGGCGAAGGCGGUUCUCUGGGCAUUACCUGACGCUGAGGAGCGAAAGCAUGGGGAGCGAACAGG